UGAAUAAGUAGGAUGCAGAACACCAUUCAGUUUAAAUCUGGAAUGCUCUCUGUUGGUGGGUGAGAAAACAUUACAAGCAGGCAGUGUUCUGCUACUGUGCAAAAUGUGCACUGCCAAGCAGAGAUGAAGGCACAGAUGGAAAGCAGCAAGGCAGUGCAGGAGAGAUAUUGCCAGGGCAGGGCUGCGCCACAGCUUGUCACUUCCCAAAGGCCUCACCCAGCCUAUGCUUGGGCACACAUGCAUUGGGGUUUCCCAAAAGCUGCCCUGCACCAGGCAGGCGCUGGGUGACUGCUUCUGAAUGCUGAUAGUGCUGCAGGGCACAAUGGAGCCCCAGCCCUAUGCUUACCUCUCCCACCCCUGCAGGGCUCCAGGUGCAGCCUGUGAUGGAGACAAGGGCAUGUGGAAAGCAGUGGCUCCAGAUGAGCUGUGAAGGAGUGAGGAGAUUGCCUCAGAGGACAAACAGAUAUAAUUAUCUGCAGCAGACUCAGAGUCUGUGUUGCAACAAUUUCCUCCUUAAGACCUUGGUGCACCCAAAAAAGAAAAACUUCCUGGUUUCUGUGCAAAGAUGCAUGACAGCAUGAUUUAUCAUGAGUGAGCCAUGCUGCCCCGAACCUUCGUUAUCCUGCUUUCAGUGCACCUGUAGCAUCACGUGCCCUAGAAAAACAGGUGGUGAGAGCCCAAAUCUGGGCUUGAGGCAGCUUAAAGGUAUGACUUAGAGAAAGGCAAAGAGGCUGCAGCCAAAGGCUUACGCUUUCCUUCAAAGUCCAGCUGGGAAAGAGGCAUCAUCCUUUCACUCCCUUGCUUGGGGCAGAGCUCACAAUUCAGCUUUCCCUCUGCUCCUGGAUGUACAUACUGUCAGAAAGCACGCAAUGGGGACAGACAAGGAUGUACUGAAGUAUUUGUACUGGGGAGAGCAGCAGAAGUCAUGGCAGGGUGCAUCCUACCUCUCCACUUGGAGCUGGCUCUCGGAGGCAGAAAGUGUAACAACUUAAUCAGAUAUCACUACGCACACAUCCCUCUACAUUGGUGACACAUUUCCUGGCAUGCCUGCAGCCCACAGCCAUCUCCUCCCAGUACUUAGCAUCACCCCGUGCCAGCCGCCCAUCCUGCCAAACCACCCUUUGGCAGAUCUGGGGAUUCACCAUCAGUGAAGAGCAGCAUGCAGGGUGCCAGGACUGGCGGAUGGCAGAGGCAGAGCGAGGUGCCAGCCAACGCUGGGAGGACACAUGGGGACAACAGCUGUGGCAUGGGGAUGAAAGGAUCAGAGGUGUGAGAGGAAGGGACCGGAGAUACCUGUUUUGUGCUGCUUCAUCAGUGACUGUUCAGGCAGCCUGUCAAGUAUUCCUUUGUGCUUCAGUUUUUAAACAGCCCACACCAUCUCCAUGUAAACUGGCUUGCACAGGCGAGGUCUCCAUGUGCCCUCUGAGAUUUGGCACAGCUGUGCAAAACUCCACAUUUGUUUGUGCUAUGUGUAUCAAGAACAAACAGGUGUGUCAGAAGGAAGGGCAAGAUGCCCUCAUCCUGCAGAAUGGAACUGUUGCUCAAGGAGGCCCAGAAAAUCUGGUUUGUAGUGUGCUACUUUGGUGUCCUUCAUUCUCUUCUGCUUGUUCUCAGAAGGGAUGUUCCUGGCUGUGGUAGCGAUAGGUCAGGUUUAGCCACACACCUCUGGCCUCAUAUUUCAUAGAAUCACAGAAUGCCCUGAGGUGGAAGAGACCCAUAAGGA
Long non-coding RNA from Phasianus colchicus (ring-necked pheasant), 1723 nucleotides. RefSeq lists it as uncharacterized. NCBI's taxonomy places the organism in Eukaryota, Metazoa, Chordata, Aves, Galliformes, Phasianidae. The record is from RefSeq and is a predicted model, not a curated record.